CAUCCUGUGUUCCCUUACAAAAAUUUCAGAAAUGGAUUCUUCACACAGCAAGUCUCUACAGGAUUGUGGAAAGCCUUGCUAACAUAGCCAGUAAUCUGAUCAUCAGCAAAAAGCUAAUAUCCAAGCCUGAAUUCAGGAGGAGAACACCUGCAGCUGACUGAGGAAGUGGCUCAGCUGCAGCAAGGAGGAACCAGAUACACCAAAUACUUUGGAGCAGGGACUGCUCAGCCUGGAGAGAG
This 239-nucleotide long non-coding RNA is filed under the name Numida meleagris (helmeted guineafowl). Its description in RNAcentral is "lncRNA (ENSNMEG00000017684.1)". The record is from RNAcentral. Lineage: Eukaryota; Metazoa; Chordata; Aves; Galliformes; Numididae.